RNAcentral lists this ribosomal RNA (170 nucleotides) under uncultured rumen bacterium. RNAcentral's name for it is "partial 16S ribosomal RNA". It matches the Rfam family "Bacterial small subunit ribosomal RNA", at positions 340 to 524 of the family's 1533-position model. The record is from RNAcentral.
UACGGGAGGCAGCAGUGAGGAAUAUUGGGCAAUGGGCAUAAGCCUGACCCAGCGACGCCGCGUGAGGGAAGAAGGUCUUCGGAUUGUAAACCUUAGUUAUCAGGGAAGAAGAAAGUGACGGUACCUGAAGAGAAAGCCACGGCUAACUACGUGCCAGCAGCCGCGGUAAU